This 362-nucleotide transfer RNA is filed under the name uncultured Microcystis sp. RNAcentral's name for it is "partial 16S-23S ribosomal RNA intergenic spacer". The stretch from base 135 to 208 matches the Rfam family "tRNA". Lineage: Bacteria; Bacillati; Cyanobacteriota; Cyanophyceae; Chroococcales; Microcystaceae. The record is from RNAcentral.
AAGGGAGACCUAAUUCAGGUAGGAGACGAAAAAAUAGUAGUCCCAACCAAGAAUCAAUCCCAAAAGGUCGGAGCGAGGCGAAAUUGGCUUUCAAACUAGGUUCUGGGUUCAAACAAGACCUGAAUCAGGAACAAGGGCUAUUAGCUCAGGUGGUUAGAGCGCACCCCUGAUAAGGGUGAGGUCCCUGGUUCGAGUCCAGGAUGGCCCACCUGCACAGGUGGCAAAAACAAAGAAGAGAAGCUCCGAAUCAGCACCUUAUCUUAUCUAUAGAUAAGAGAGAAUGCUGGCUCUGAGUUCAGAGUCCAGAGGAACCUUGAAAACUGCAUAGAGCUAGGUGAAAAAGCCAAAAAAGAAGACCGCAA